This 492-nucleotide ribosomal RNA is filed under the name uncultured bacterium. RNAcentral's name for it is "partial 16S ribosomal RNA". It matches the Rfam family "Bacterial small subunit ribosomal RNA", at positions 29 to 507 of the family's 1533-position model. The record is from RNAcentral.
AGUGAACGCUGGCGGUAGGCCUAACACAUGCAAGUCGAACGGCAGCACAGUAAGAGCUUGCUCUUACGGGUGGCGAGUGGCGGACGGGUGAGGAAUACAUCGGAAUCUACUUUUUCGUGGGGGAUAACGUAGGGAAACUUACGCUAAUACCGCAUACGACCUACGGGUGAAAGCAGGGGAUCUUCGGACCUUGCCCGAUUGAAUGAGCCGAUGUCGGAUUAGCUAGUUGGCGGGGUAAAGGCCCACCAAGGCGACGAUCCGUAGCUGGUCUGAGAGGAUGAUCAGCCACACUGGAACUGAGACACGGUCCAGACUCCUACGGGAGGCAGCAGUGGGGAAUAUUGGACAAUGGGCGCAAGCCUGAUCCAGCCAUACCGUGUGGGUGAAGAAGGCCUUCGGGUUGUAAAGCCCUUUUGUUGGGAAAGAAAAGAAGCAGGUUAAUACCCCGCUGUUCUGACGGUACCCAAAGAAUAAGCACCGGCUAACUUCGUG